Molecule: long non-coding RNA, 2825 nt
Filed under: Solanum tuberosum (potato)
Lineage: Eukaryota; Viridiplantae; Streptophyta; Magnoliopsida; Solanales; Solanaceae
Description: long non-coding RNA (STUB_LNC008029)
Source: RNAcentral
GGUUAAAGAUUGUCUUCACUUUCCUUUGCUGCACCCAAAUUGCUGCUUAAUUGCCCUAGCUUCACAAGAUUUGAUCUUUCUUCUCUUUCCCCCCCAUUUUGGUGUUGAAACUUUGCCCCAAAAAGUCAUCCAUCUUCUUUGCUAAUUUUAAGGUCAUGGUGCUGAAUCAGAGUAAUUUCUGGUAUUAAAAGUAAGUGCUGGAUUGGAACUUCCAAAAUUUGAUGAGAAAAACAAGAAUUUCUUCCCUUUUUGUGUCUUUAUUUUUUACGUCUUCACUACUCUAUUUCUCUCAAUUUCGUAUUGUAUUUUAAUUUAUAUUAUGUUCAUGCUUUUGGAUCAUUUAGUCGAUUUUGACUGGAAAAACCACUGCUAAUUCGACUUUAAUAUUGGUGUUAAGUGUUCUCCUUUUUAAUUUUUGACAGAGUAGUCUUCUUACACCAAAAUUUGGAAAUGCUCAGUAAAUAUUUCUAAUCUUCCUUCCAUCUCUUUUAUGCGUUUUGUCUAAUCGCGUUUGAUGUUUUCUCUAAUCCAUUCAUUAGAGCAUGUUUAUUGAAAUCUAAUAAUAUUCUUGGGUGUUCCGAUUUUUCUACAUUAUGGUUUACUAUUUUCUUUCAAGGGUAAAGUUCUGCCUUCCUUUGCACAUAACAUGUUUGGUGAAAGUUAUGUUCAAAUUGUUAGAGUAAUGAUCCAUUGAUUCGUAGUAUAUAUGUAGUCGACUUCUGUAACAUCAUAAAGUAAUGGAUUACAAGUGUCGGUGAAAGAAACAAAAGGAAAAUGACCUCUUCGACUACAAUUGAACAUAGAAUUAUUUCAAGUUGUGCUCAUAUACUUCACAUUGAUUGGUUUCCAUAUCUUCUAUGAGAUUGCUGGAGAUCUUGGUAAUUUGCAGUCUCUACUGCGAAGAGGAAAAAUGACUAUUUUGUGAACUCUCUUUGUUCAUGAUUAAUGUUUAUUUCAAUUUAAGACAAUAUUAGCUAUUCAUAGUCUCAUCAGCCUUUGCUACAAAGAUUGAAGCUUGAAUGGUUUGUCGCUCUUUAAGUUUUCACUUUCUUCUUUUGUUUAAUUCAAUGGACAACUCCCUAAGGAGCUCAAGAUAUUUAUUUUUUUUAGUUUUGACUCGAUAUUUGAACUUAAGAAUAACUUGUGUUGGUUCAUUGAUGUCAGAAAUAAUUGAAAUUCUUUGAACUUUAUUUCAGCCUUCCCAAACUAAAACAGAGGUGUACAACUACUAUAUUUGAUGUGGAGUAUCUUAAUUAGAUGUGUGUUUUUCUUUCAUAUAUGAAUCUUGAUAUUUAAGGUGCAGUUAUUUUGAAGUGUCGUGUCUUCAUUAUUCUUUGUAAUGAUUUUUCUUGGCUAUAGCUGGGAACUUUUCUUUGCAUGAAUUAGUGAAAAAUAUUGAUUAUUAAGUCUCUGUUUUAAGUUACAGUUCAUGUUGUAAAUCCUUCUACUGAUUACCAUUUUGUUGAAGUGCUUAGUUAUAACAGGGGACCUUAAUUUGGUAUGUAAGAUUUGAAGAAGAAAGAUGAGUUCAACCAUGCAGGGGUUGCUAUUGAAGAGAAAUACAAAUGACAUUUACCUGAGAAAAUUACUAAAUGAGGAGUAUGCAUAAGAGCAAUUUCAAGUUUAUCACCCUUCUAGCAUUGAUGUAAGUUGUUCUACUUGGAGUAAGUCAUUAGGUGCUAUCAGCAAGAAGCUAAUGAAUUUUUAAAUUUCCCAACUACCAUAAAAAAAAAAGCAAAAUCUUUCAGCUCUGGCAAUUUUGAGGCAUAUUUCAGAUCCUACAUUAACUACAUGUAAAAAAAGUACUACUCACUUAGCCUUGAAAUGAUAUGUAUUAUUGAUCAUGUUUUAUUUUUUUUGUACCCAGUAAUCAAGACUAUCAGUAAAUUAGAUGAAAUGAGAAAAAUAAGCUACAACAUGCUUUUAUCUGGCAAGAGACGCUCAAGUUAUUAAUGUUAGAGGAAAGAUUAAUGGCAGAGUGAAUCUGAGUCCAUAUACUCCAUCCCUCUGUAUCAUCAUCUUUGGUUUACCUAAAAGUGUUCAUUAUAGUUUUAUUAGAUUUAGAAAUUACAAUGUCCAAGUGCGGUAAUUUAUAUAGCACCAAGUGCUGACGAUUUUACUUGGUAAAACAAAGUACAAACUAAAGUUCUAAUCUUUAGCAGGACAAAGAAAAAUAUGUCCAUGAUAUCUUAAGAUUGCUUUCUAUUAAGAGUAGCCAAAGAGUAAAAGAAAAAAUAUGCCCAUGAUAUCAUAAGAUUGCUUUCUAUUAAGUAGCCAAAGAGUUGAUCCAAUUUUAUUUCCCUUUUUUUUGACCUAUUUUGGUCAAUAUAAACGUAAGUUCAAAGAUAAAUUCUCAUUCAUCUUUUUUCUUUCUAUUAAGAGUAGUCAAAGGUUCUUUUGGAUUAGUUAGAACAUGUAUGGCAAGUACAAUGAAAGUUAAAUGAUAAAAGAACUACUUUCUUCUAUCUAGAUCUUAUGAUAUUAUCAUGGGGAUAUAAAUUUUUAAUCUGCAGAAAUUGUGAAGAUCUUUCUUGACCAAUCCCUUUGACACUCAUUCUUCAAGGAAUAAGGAAGAGUAUUUUUAAGUUUGAAUUUGUUCAUUUAGAAUCUAAUUUCUUCUGCUUCAUAUUAAUUUAAUAUGAAUAUCAUCCCUCUCUUUUUUGUUGAUACAUUUAACAUAAACUUGCCCCACUAUUUCUGGUGUGUGGCCUUUUCAGUAAUUUGCAGGAAUAACAGAUUACAUUUUCUGGGCACUGAAUAGACAGGUUCUCAUAUGAAGUGAAAGGAUUCUUAGCUUUUGAUUUGUGAUGAACAUAAAUGAAAUA